RNAcentral lists this ribosomal RNA (2732 nucleotides) under Escherichia coli. RNAcentral describes it as "partial 23S ribosomal RNA". It matches the Rfam family "Bacterial large subunit ribosomal RNA". The record is from RNAcentral. Lineage: Bacteria; Pseudomonadati; Pseudomonadota; Gammaproteobacteria; Enterobacterales; Enterobacteriaceae.
CAUAGGUUAAUGAGGCGAACCGGGGGAACUGAAACAUCUAAGUACCCCGAGGAAAAGAAAUCAACCGAGAUUCCCCCAGUAGCGGCGAGCGAACGGGGAGCAGCCCAGAGCCUGAAUCAGUGUGUGUGUUAGUGGAAGCGUCUGGAAAGGCGCGCGAUACAGGGUGACAGCCCCGUACACAAAAAUGCACAUACUGUGAGCUCGAUGAGUAGGGCGGGACACGUGGUAUCCUGUCUGAAUAUGGGGGGACCAUCCUCCAAGGCUAAAUACUCCUGACUGACCGAUAGUGAACCAGUACCGUGAGGGAAAGGCGAAAAGAACCCCGGCGAGGGGAGUGAAAAAGAACCUGAAACCGUGUACGUACAAGCAGUGGGAGCACGCUUAGGCGUGUGACUGCGUACCUUUUGUAUAAUGGGUCAGCGACUUAUAUUCUGUAGCAAGGUUAACCGAAUAGGGGAGCCGAAGGGAAACCGAGUCUUAACUGGGCGUUAAGUUGCAGGGUAUAGACCCGAAACCCGGUGAUCUAGCCAUGGGCAGGUUGAAGGUUGGGUAACACUAACUGGAGGACCGAACCGACUAAUGUUGAAAAAUUAGCGGAUGACUUGUGGCUGGGGGUGAAAGGCCAAUCAAACCGGGAGAUAGCUGGUUCUCCCCGAAAGCUAUUUAGGUAGCGCCUCGUGAAUUCAUCUCCGGGGGUAGAGCACUGUUUCGGCAAGGGGGUCAUCCCGACUUACCAACCCGAUGCAAACUGCGAAUACCGGAGAAUGUUAUCACGGGAGACACACGGCGGGUGCUAACGUCCGUCGUGAAGAGGGAAACAACCCAGACCGCCAGCUAAGGUCCCAAAGUCAUGGUUAAGUGGGAAACGAUGUGGGAAGGCCCAGACAGCCAGGAUGUUGGCUUAGAAGCAGCCAUCAUUUAAAGAAAGCGUAAUAGCUCACUGGUCGAGUCGGCCUGCGCGGAAGAUGUAACGGGGCUAAACCAUGCACCGAAGCUGCGGCAGCGACGCUGAUGCGUUGUUGGGUAGGGGAGCGUUCUGUAAGCCUGUGAAGGUGUGCUGUGAGGCAUGCUGGAGGUAUCAGAAGUGCGAAUGCUGACAUAAGUAACGAUAAAGCGGGUGAAAAGCCCGCUCGCCGGAAGACCAAGGGUUCCUGUCCAACGUUAAUCGGGGCAGGGUGAGUCGACCCCUAAGGCGAGGCCGAAAGGCGUAGUCGAUGGGAAACAGGUUAAUAUUCCUGUACUUGGUGUUACUGCGAAGGGGGGACGGAGAAGGCUAUGUUGGCCGGGCGACGGUUGUCCCGGUUUAAGCGUGUAGGCUGGUUUUCCAGGCAAAUCCGGAAAACUAAGGCUGAGGCGUGAUGACGAGGCACUACGGUGCUGAAGCAACAAAUGCCCUGCUUCCAGGAAAAGCCUCUAAGCAUCAGGUAACAUCAAAUCGUACCCCAAACCGACACAGGUGGUCAGGUAGAGAAUACCAAGGCGCUUGAGAGAACUCGGGUGAAGGAACUAGGCAAAAUGGUGCCGUAACUUCGGGAGAAGGCACGCUGAUAUGUAGGUGAAGUCCCUCGCGGAUGGAGCUGAAAUCAGUCGAAGAUACCAGCUGGCUGCAACUGUUUAUUAAAAACACAGCACUGUGCAAACACGAAAGUGGACGUAUACGGUGUGACGCCUGCCCGGUGCCGGAAGGUUAAUUGAUGGGGUCAGCGCAAGCGAAGCUCUUGAUCGAAGCCCCGGUAAACGGCGGCCGUAACUAUAACGGUCCUAAGGUAGCGAAAUUCCUUGUCGGGUAAGUUCCGACCUGCACGAAUGGCGUAAUGAUGGCCAGGCUGUCUCCACCCGAGACUCAGUGAAAUUGAACUCGCUGUGAAGAUGCAGUGUACCCGCGGCAAGACGGAAAGACCCCGUGAACCUUUACUAUAGCUUGACACUGAACAUUGAGCCUUGAUGUGUAGGAUAGGUGGGAGGCUUUGAAGUGUGGACGCCAGUCUGCAUGGAGCCGACCUUGAAAUACCACCCUUUAAUGUUUGAUGUUCUAACGUUGACCCGUGAUCCGGGUUGCGGACAGUGUCUGGUGGGUAGUUUGACUGGGGCGGUCUCCUCCUAAAGAGUAACGGAGGAGCACGAAGGUUGGCUAAUCCUGGUCGGACAUCAGGAGGUUAGUGCAAUGGCAUAAGCCAGCUUGACUGCGAGCGUGACGGCGCGAGCAGGUGCGAAAGCAGGUCAUAGUGAUCCGGUGGUUCUGAAUGGAAGGGCCAUCGCUCAACGGAUAAAAGGUACUCCGGGGAUAACAGGCUGAUACCGCCCAAGAGUUCAUAUCGACGGCGGUGUUUGGCACCUCGAUGUCGGCUCAUCACAUCCUGGGGCUGAAGUAGGUCCCAAGGGUAUGGCUGUUCGCCAUUUAAAGUGGUACGCGAGCUGGGUUUAGAACGUCGUGAGACAGUUCGGUCCCUAUCUGCCGUGGGCGCUGGAGAACUGAGGGGGGCUGCUCCUAGUACGAGAGGACCGGAGUGGACGCAUCACUGGUGUUCGGGUUGUCAUGCCAAUGGCACUGCCCGGUAGCUAAAUGCGGAAGAGAUAAGUGCUGAAAGCAUCUAAGCACGAAACUUGCCCCGAGAUGAGUUCUCCCUGACUCCUUGAGAGUCCUGAAGGAACGUUGAAGACGACGACGUUGAUAGGCCGGGUGUGUAAGCGCAGCGAUGCGUUGAGCUAACCGGUACUAAUGAACCGUGAGG